Molecule: non-coding RNA, 175 nt
Filed under: Eubacterium sp.
Lineage: Bacteria; Bacillati; Bacillota; Clostridia; Eubacteriales; Eubacteriaceae
Also listed under: 1 other name
Source: RNAcentral
UUGAAAAUGAAUAUUACAGGUGUAGACAUACUCAAUAAGGAAGAAAGUGAAAAUCUUUCGCUGCCCCAGCAGUCGUGAUAUGGACGAAAUCCAAGAUACCAUUGUGCUUAUGCAUGAGAAGGUGGAAAGUAGGAAGAAGUUAAGCCGAAAGACUUGCCUGUAAUGAAUGCAUCUG